GAGCAGAGGGCUUCUCAAGUCCGCGCAUGAGAGAGAGAGAGAGAGAGAGAGAGAACGCCCAUGGUUUGGAGGGCUUCACUCUCGGAUCGAAACAGAGCUUCGCCGAUCCCAAUAUUCCAGCUUCGCCCUCGGAGUUGAUUUGCCAAAUAUUUACACUGCACAAGGGGCAAGCGUACAAGCUGGGCACUCAUCUGGGUAGUUCAAACUUGAAAGUCCUUUGAUUCCCCAUAUGAAUUGGUCAGUUUUUCUGUUUUGUCAUCUGAGACGUUGAGUUUCCCUGGUUUUUUCAUCUGGGUCUUUGCUAUGUUCUCGAUUUCAGCAGCUUUAAUUUUGACAUUAAAAUUGUGGGCUUUCAGCUGUUUUGAUUCAAUCAGUGAGGGGAAGUUGAUUGAUUUUGCUCAUAUAUCUGCAUUAAAGGUAUUGGGUCUGGACUCCUUCAUUAGGAUUUUCUAGUGUUUGGGUGGUGAAUAGUGUUUGGGUGGUGAAUUCUGGCAGGAUUUGGAUUUUUUGUUCUGCUCUUGUGGCUCUAGAUGUGUUGUGGCUGAUCUUCUCUAAGAGUAGAAGUUGGUGCUGCAGUUGAGGGUUUUAAUCCAGUGGAUGUCGUGAUUUUCUGUUUUUCUUUGGAUGAAUGAGUAAAGUUUUGGAGGAAUUGUAUUAGUUGUUUUGGUCAUGAUUUUUGGAUUCUAACUCUUCUGUAAAGAGCUUGUGAGGCUUUGUUGCAGAAGAGAAUUGGGGUUUCUACUCCCCGGGAAUUGGGAAAGAAAACUUGCAUUGUAAAUGAUGUUUUAUCCUCGACUUCAAGGAGCUUCAAAACAAUCUUGUAGUCUUCUUGCUGUCACCUGUGGGAAAAAUGCUGGAGAUAAAUCUUUAAGAAGGAUGCUGCAGAGGAUAAGCCGAGCUGCUGAGAUACCCCUUUUUUCAGAGUUGGUAUCUUCUGGACGUUUGGAGGUGCAAUAUUCCAUUUUUGGUUGCAACUUUUCUGUACUGAGUAUCAGAUUGGAAAUGUGUUGCAUGCAACUUUUUAAAGAUAGAUUUUAUAGGCAUGUAAUUUUGUAUACAUUUAUGGCUUAUGACUUACUAUAAAAUCAAGUUUAAGAA
This is a non-coding RNA of Corylus avellana, 1098 nucleotides long. The record is from RefSeq and is a predicted model, not a curated record. Lineage: Eukaryota; Viridiplantae; Streptophyta; Magnoliopsida; Fagales; Betulaceae.